Molecule: ribosomal RNA, 491 nt
Filed under: uncultured eukaryote
Lineage: Eukaryota
Description: SSU rRNA
Rfam family: Eukaryotic small subunit ribosomal RNA
Source: RNAcentral
CCUUGGGUCUGGCUGACCGGUCCGCCUCACCGCGAGUACUGGUCCGGCUGGACCUUUCCUUCUGGGGAACCCCAUGGCCUUCACUGGCCGUGGGUGGGAACCAGGACUUUUACUGUGAAAAAAUUAGAGUGUUCAAAGCAGGCCUUUGCUCGAAUACAUUAGCAUGGAAUAAUAGAAUAGGACGUGCGGUUCUAUUUUGUUGGUUUCUAGGACCGCCGUAAUGAUUAAUAGGGAUAGUCGGGGGCGUCAGUAUUCAGCUGUCAGAGGUGAAAUUCUUGGAUUUGCUGAAGACUAACUACUGCGAAAGCAUUCGCCAAGGAUGUUUUCAUUAAUCAGGCAACGAAAGUUAGGGGAUCGAAGACGAUCAGAUACCGUCGUAGUCUUAACCAUAAACUAUGCCGACUAGGGAUCGGGCGGUGUUUCUAUUAUGACCCGCUCGGCACCUUACGAGAAAUCAAAGUUUUUGAGUUCUGGGGGGAGUAUGGUCGCAA